UUAAGCGACUAAGCGUACACGGUGGAUGCCCUGGCAGUCAGAGGCGAUGAAGGACGUGCUAAUCUGCGAUAAGCGUCGGUAAGGUGAUAUGAACCGUUAUAACCGGCGAUUUCCGAAUGGGGAAACCCAGUGUGAUUCGUCACACUAUCAUUAACUGAAUCCAUAGGUUAAUGAGGCGAACCGGGGGAACUGAAACAUCUAAGUACCCCGAGGAAAAGAAAUCAACCGAGAUUCCCCCAGUAGCGGCGAGCGAACGGGGAGCAGCCCAGAGCCUGAAUCAGUGUGUGUGUUAGUGGAAGCGUCUGGAAAGGCGCGCGAUACAGGGUGACAGCCCCGUACACAAAAAUGCACAUGCUGUGAGCUCGAUGAGUAGGGCGGGACACGUGGUAUCCUGUCUGAAUAUGGGGGGACCAUCCUCCAAGGCUAAAUACUCCUGACUGACCGAUAGUGAACCAGUACCGUGAGGGAAAGGCGAAAAGAACCCCGGCGAGGGGAGUGAAAAAGAACCUGAAACCGUGUACGUACAAGCAGUGGGAGCACGCUUAGGCGUGUGACUGCGUACCUUUUGUAUAAUGGGUCAGCGACUUAUAUUCUGUAGCAAGGUUAACCGAAUAGGGGAGCCGAAGGGAAACCGAGUCUUAACUGGGCGUUAAGUUGCAGGGUAUAGACCCGAAACCCGGUGAUCUAGCCAUGGGCAGGUUGAAGGUUGGGUAACACUAACUGGAGGACCGAACCGACUAAUGUUGAAAAAUUAGCGGAUGACUUGUGGCUGGGGGUGAAAGGCCAAUCAAACCGGGAGAUAGCUGGUUCUCCCCGAAAGCUAUUUAGGUAGCGCCUCGUGAAUUCAUCUCCGGGGGUAGAGCACUGUUUCGGCAAGGGGGUCAUCCCGACUUACCAACCCGAUGCAAACUGCGAAUACCGGAGAAUGUUAUCACGGGAGACACACGGCGGGUGCUAACGUCCGUCGUGAAGAGGGAAACAACCCAGACCGCCAGCUAAGGUCCCAAAGUCAUGGUUAAGUGGGAAACGAUGUGGGAAGGCCCAGACAGCCAGGAUGUUGGCUUAGAAGCAGCCAUCAUUUAAAGAAAGCGUAAUAGCUCACUGGUCGAGUCGGCCUGCGCGGAAGAUGUAACGGGGCUAAACCAUGCACCGAAGCUGCGGCAGCGACGCUGAUGCGUUGUUGGGUAGGGGAGCGUUCUGUAAGCCUGUGAAGGUGUACUGUGAGGUAUGCUGGAGGUAUCAGAAGUGCGAAUGCUGACAUAAGUAACGAUAAAGCGGGUGAAAAGCCCGCUCGCCGGAAGACCAAGGGUUCCUGUCCAACGUUAAUCGGGGCAGGGUGAGUCGACCCCUAAGGCGAGGCCGAAAGGCGUAGUCGAUGGGAAACAGGUUAAUAUUCCUGUACUUGGUGUUACUGCGAAGGGGGGACGGAGAAGGCUAUGUUGGCCGGGCGACGGUUGUCCCGGUUUAAGCGUGUAGGCUGGUUUUCCAGGCAAAUCCGGAAAAUCAAGGCUGAGGCGUGAUGACGAGGCACUACGGUGCUGAAGCAACAAAUGCCCUGCUUCCAGGAAAAGCCUCUAAGCAUCAGGUAACAUCAAAUCGUACCCCAAACCGACACAGGUGGUCAGGUAGAGAAUACCAAGGCGCUUGAGAGAACUCGGGUGAAGGAACUAGGCAAAAUGGUGCCGUAACUUCGGGAGAAGGCACGCUGAUAUGUAGGUGAAGUCCCUCGCGGAUGGAGCUGAAAUCAGUCGAAGAUACCAGCUGGCUGCAACUGUUUAUUAAAAACACAGCACUGUGCAAACACGAAAGUGGACGUAUACGGUGUGACGCCUGCCCGGUGCCGGAAGGUUAAUUGAUGGGGUCAGCGCAAGCGAAGCUCUUGAUCGAAGCCCCGGUAAACGGCGGCCGUAACUAUAACGGUCCUAAGGUAGCGAAAUUCCUUGUCGGGUAAGUUCCGACCUGCACGAAUGGCGUAAUGAUGGCCAGGCUGUCUCCACCCGAGACUCAGUGAAAUUGAACUCGCUGUGAAGAUGCAGUGUACCCGCGGCAAGACGGAAAGACCCCGUGAACCUUUACUAUAGCUUGACACUGAACAUUGAGCCUUGAUGUGUAGGAUAGGUGGGAGGCUUUGAAGUGUGGACGCCAGUCUGCAUGGAGCCGACCUUGAAAUACCACCCUUUAAUGUUUGAUGUUCUAACGUGGACCCGUAAUCCGGGUUGCGGACAGUGUCUGGUGGGUAGUUUGACUGGGGCGGUCUCCUCCUAAAGAGUAACGGAGGAGCACGAAGGUUGGCUAAUCCUGGUCGGACAUCAGGAGGUUAGUGCAAUGGCAUAAGCCAGCUUGACUGCGAGCGUGACGGCGCGAGCAGGUGCGAAAGCAGGUCAUAGUGAUCCGGUGGUUCUGAAUGGAAGGGCCAUCGCUCAACGGAUAAAAGGUACUCCGGGGAUAACAGGCUGAUACCGCCCAAGAGUUCAUAUCGACGGCGGUGUUUGGCACCUCGAUGUCGGCUCAUCACAUCCUGGGGCUGAAGUAGGUCCCAAGGGUAUGGCUGUUCGCCAUUUAAAGUGGUACGCGAGCUGGGUUUAGAACGUCGUGAGACAGUUCGGUCCCUAUCUGCCGUGGGCGCUGGAGAAUUGAGGGGGGCUGCUCCUAGUACGAGAGGACCGGAGUGGACGCAUCACUGGUGUUCGGGUUGUCAUGCCAAUGGCACUGCCCGGUAGCUAAAUGCGGAAGAGAUAAGUGCUGAAAGCAUCUAAGCACGAAACUUGCCCCGAGAUGAGUUCUCCCUGACUCCUUGAGAGUCCUGAAGGAACGUUGAAGACGACGACGUUGAUAGGCCGGGUGUGUAAGCGCAGCGAUGCGUUGAGCUAACCGGUACUAAUGAACCGUGAGGCUUAACCUU
RNAcentral lists this ribosomal RNA (2902 nucleotides) under Escherichia coli HVH 36 (4-5675286). RNAcentral's name for it is "bacterial LSU rRNA". It matches the Rfam family "Bacterial large subunit ribosomal RNA". The record is from RNAcentral. Lineage: Bacteria; Pseudomonadati; Pseudomonadota; Gammaproteobacteria; Enterobacterales; Enterobacteriaceae.